GUUGUUGAGUGAAGAAACUCAACUAAAAAUGAAAGCUUGAGUGAUGUUGGGUUCAUGAAGUCUAACAAAUCCAAACGCCUUGUUCGUUUUUGUGGAAUGAAGAUAUCUCUGAUAGACCACAUCUUGGAGAACAAUCGCCAAAAAUAUUCAGUAUCCCAAUUAGAUGGGAAGUUCUUAAAGUAUACAGAUGAUGGUUGGCUAGUUUUUGGUAGAGGGAGGAGGGGAGGGAGAGUGUUUGGGCUCAUGGUGAAGCUUUUUUAUUCAGCAUAGCAACAACAAUAUGAUUUCUUAUUCGUUCAGUUAUAAAUUGAUUGAUAUUCAAAGUAAUGAAAAAUAUUUCUGUUCCUUUUAUAUAUUCUUCAUUUUUCCAAAAUUGGAAUGAAAUUAAAUAUUGAUGUUAAUUAGAAGGGGGGAUAAAUUGAGAGAAGGGAGAU
This 434-nucleotide unclassified non-coding RNA is filed under the name Hevea brasiliensis (rubber tree). The record is from RNAcentral. Lineage: Eukaryota; Viridiplantae; Streptophyta; Magnoliopsida; Malpighiales; Euphorbiaceae.